This 2346-nucleotide ribosomal RNA is filed under the name Shigella boydii. RNAcentral describes it as "partial 23S ribosomal RNA". It matches the Rfam family "Bacterial large subunit ribosomal RNA", at positions 617 to 2925 of the family's 2925-position model. The record is from RNAcentral. Lineage: Bacteria; Pseudomonadati; Pseudomonadota; Gammaproteobacteria; Enterobacterales; Enterobacteriaceae.
GGGUCAGCGACUUAUAUUCUGUAGCAAGGUUAACCGAAUAGGGGAGCCGAAGGGAAACCGAGUCUUAACUGGGCGUUAAGUUGCAGGGUAUAGACCCGAAACCCGGUGAUCUAGCCAUGGGCAGGUUGAAGGUUGGGUAACACUAACUGGAGGACCGAACCGACUAAUGUUGAAAAAUUAGCGGAUGACUUGUGGCUGGGGGUGAAAGGCCAAUCAAACCGGGAGAUAGCUGGUUCUCCCCGAAAGCUAUUUAGGUAGCGCCUCGUGAAUUCAUCUCCGGGGGUAGAGCACUGUUUCGGCAAGGGGGUCAUCCCGACUUACCAACCCGAUGCAAACUGCGAAUACCGGAGAAUGUUAUCACGGGAGACACACGGCGGGUGCUAACGUCCGUCGUGAAGAGGGAAACAACCCAGACCGCCAGCUAAGGUCCCAAAGUCAUGGUUAAGUGGGAAACGAUGUGGGAAGGCCCAGACAGCCAGGAUGUUGGCUUAGAAGCAGCCAUCAUUUAAAGAAAGCGUAAUAGCUCACUGGUCGAGUCGGCCUGCGCGGAAGAUGUAACGGGGCUAAACCAUGCACCGAAGCUGCGGCAGCGACGCUGAUGCGUUGUUGGGUAGGGGAGCGUUCUGUAAGCCUGUGAAGGUGUGCUGUGAGGUAUGCUGGAGGUAUCAGAAGUGCGAAUGCUGACAUAAGUAACGAUAAAGCGGGUGAAAAGCCCGCUCGCCGGAAGACCAAGGGUUCCUGUCCAACGUUAAUCGGGGCAGGGUGAGUCGACCCCUAAGGCGAGGCCGAAAGGCGUAGUCGAUGGGAAACAGGUUAAUAUUCCUGUACUUGGUGUUACUGCGAAGGGGGGACGGAGAAGGCUAUGUUGGCCGGGCGACGGUUGUCCCGGUUUAAGCGUGUAGGCUGGUUUUCCAGGCAAAUCCGGAAAACUAAGGCUGAGGCGUGAUGACGAGGCACUACGGUGCUGAAGCAACAAAUGCCCUGCUUCCAGGAAAAGCCUCUAAGCAUCAGGUAACAUCAAAUCGUACCCCAAACCGACACAGGUGGUCAGGUAGAGAAUACCAAGGCGCUUGAGAGAACUCGGGUGAAGGAACUAGGCAAAAUGGUGCCGUAACUUCGGGAGAAGGCACGCUGAUAUGUAGGUGAAGUCCCUCGCGGAUGGAGCUGAAAUCAGUCGAAGAUACCAGCUGGCUGCAACUGUUUAUUAAAAACACAGCACUGUGCAAACACGAAAGUGGACGUAUACGGUGUGACGCCUGCCCGGUGCCGGAAGGUUAAUUGAUGGGGUCAGCGCAAGCGAAGCUCUUGAUCGAAGCCCCGGUAAACGGCGGCCGUAACUAUAACGGUCCUAAGGUAGCGAAAUUCCUUGUCGGGUAAGUUCCGACCUGCACGAAUGGCGUAAUGAUGGCCAGGCUGUCUCCACCCGAGACUCAGUGAAAUUGAACUCGCUGUGAAGAUGCAGUGUACCCGCGGCAAGACGGAAAGACCCCGUGAACCUUUACUAUAGCUUGACACUGAACAUUGAGCCUUGAUGUGUAGGAUAGGUGGGAGGCUUUGAAGUGUGGACGCCAGUCUGCAUGGAGCCGACCUUGAAAUACCACCCUUUAAUGUUUGAUGUUCUAACGUUGACCCGUAAUCCGGGUUGCGGACAGUGUCUGGUGGGUAGUUUGACUGGGGCGGUCUCCUCCUAAAGAGUAACGGAGGAGCACGAAGGUUGGCUAAUCCUGGUCGGACAUCAGGAGGUUAGUGCAAUGGCAUAAGCCAGCUUGACUGCGAGCGUGACGGCGCGAGCAGGUGCGAAAGCAGGUCAUAGUGAUCCGGUGGUUCUGAAUGGAAGGGCCAUCGCUCAACGGAUAAAAGGUACUCCGGGGAUAACAGGCUGAUACCGCCCAAGAGUUCAUAUCGACGGCGGUGUUUGGCACCUCGAUGUCGGCUCAUCACAUCCUGGGGCUGAAGUAGGUCCCAAGGGUAUGGCUGUUCGCCAUUUAAAGUGGUACGCGAGCUGGGUUUAGAACGUCGUGAGACAGUUCGGUCCCUAUCUGCCGUGGGCGCUGGAGAACUGAGGGGGGCUGCUCCUAGUACGAGAGGACCGGAGUGGACGCAUCACUGGUGUUCGGGUUGUCAUGCCAAUGGCACUGCCCGGUAGCUAAAUGCGGAAGAGAUAAGUGCUGAAAGCAUCUAAGCACGAAACUUGCCCCGAGAUGAGUUCUCCCUGACUCCUUGAGAGUCCUGAAGGAACGUUGAAGACGACGACGUUGAUAGGCCGGGUGUGUAAGCGCAGCGAUGCGUUGAGCUAACCGGUACUAAUGAACCGUGAGGCUUAACCUUACAACGCCGAAGGUGUUU